CCUCGAUGAUGAGUUGCUAUGCUACUAACUGAGCUACCAGCUAGGGCAGUGUUGCCCUGCUUCGGUGCCAGGGGGUUUAACAAAAUACUGGCAGCC
This is a small nucleolar RNA of Capra hircus (goat), 96 nucleotides long. The record is from Ensembl. NCBI's taxonomy places the organism in Eukaryota, Metazoa, Chordata, Mammalia, Artiodactyla, Bovidae.